RNAcentral lists this non-coding RNA (28 nucleotides) under Rattus norvegicus (Norway rat). Lineage: Eukaryota; Metazoa; Chordata; Mammalia; Rodentia; Muridae. The record is from RNAcentral.
UAGCCCUGUGGUUUGAUGACAAUGGAGC